Molecule: ribosomal RNA, 412 nt
Filed under: uncultured Acidobacteriota bacterium
Lineage: Bacteria; Pseudomonadati; Acidobacteriota
Description: bacterial SSU rRNA
Rfam family: Bacterial small subunit ribosomal RNA
Source: RNAcentral
UGGGGAAUUUUUCGCAAUGGGGGCAACCCUGACGAAGCAACGCCGCGUGGGUGAUGAAGUAUUUCGGUACGUAAAACCCUUUCGACGGGGACGAAAGCCGCAAGGUUUGACGGUACCCGUAGAAGAAGCCCCGGCUAACUCCGUGCCAGCAGCCGCGGUAAUACGGGGGGGGCAAGCGUUGUUCGGAAUUACUGGGCGUAAAGGGCGCGUAGGCGGUUUGCUAAGUUGGAUGUGAAAACUCUGGGCUUAACCCAGAGCCUGCAUCCAAAACUGGCAAACUUGAGUACUGGAGGGGAAAGCGGAAUUCCUGGUGUAGCGGUGAAAUGCGUAGAUAUCAGGAGGAACACCGGUGGCGAAGGCGGCUUUCUGGACAGUAACUGACGCUGAGGCGCGAAAGCUAGGGGAGCAAACA